Molecule: long non-coding RNA, 307 nt
Filed under: Mytilus galloprovincialis (Mediterranean mussel)
Lineage: Eukaryota; Metazoa; Mollusca; Bivalvia; Mytilida; Mytilidae
Source: RNAcentral
UGCCGCAUAGAGGCAAUAGGGAGAAGGGUGACAUCCGCUAUUGCUUGCAAUGGCAAUUCUAGUUAUGGCACCCUCAACGGAGUUGGGGUGACAUAUUGUUAUUCUACGUUUCUUUUUUUUCUUAUUUUUCUUCCACACAUUUUGUCCGCGCGAGUUCUCAGAAUUGAACAGACCAAUGUUUAUGGAACUGAACAAUAAUGAGGAACCCCAUUUGAAGUUGUGCACCUUACUAUGGAAUGGUAAAAGAUGGCCGCCGUUUCCAUGGAAACAGCACAAAUGCGAAAAAAAUCAAAGUGGUCCAAACUGG